GAAAUCUCCGAAACUAUAACACCUACAAACUUGAAAUUUGGCAGGUAGGUUCCUUACAGGGCGUAGACAUUUUUUAAGAACUGAUUUUAUGAAAUUCGACCCUUAAGGGGGUAAAACGGGGGUUGGAAGUUUGUGUGAAAGUCCCAUGUUUUUGAAGUAAGAGACUUGAGAUUUAAAAUGUAUACCUUAUAAAUGAUGAGAA
This 202-nucleotide unclassified non-coding RNA is filed under the name Melitaea cinxia (Glanville fritillary). Its description in RNAcentral is "misc RNA ENSMCXG00005006714.1". Lineage: Eukaryota; Metazoa; Arthropoda; Insecta; Lepidoptera; Nymphalidae. The record is from RNAcentral.